Molecule: long non-coding RNA, 2082 nt
Organism: Oreochromis niloticus (Nile tilapia)
Lineage: Eukaryota; Metazoa; Chordata; Actinopteri; Cichliformes; Cichlidae
Source: Ensembl
GUCACUCAGAACUGUUUUAACCAUUUUUGUUUCAGAUUUUUAUCUGGUGAUCAUUACAGGCUCAAAACUCCAAAAGCUCUGCAGCUGCACUUUGGUUUUCACAAAAACACUCCCCCUUCACUUCUCAGAAAUGAUCAUUCAGAGAGAAAAUGGUGGUCUCAGACCACAAACACAUUUAUGUGCAUGUCCUUACCUACCUCCUAUCAUUGGUGACUACUACACUAUCAUCACGGUACAUCAAAAAUAAGAAGACUCAAAUACUGGUGGUCAAGGAGUUCUUCUACAGAAGAGCCGCACUUUGCAAACAUUGAACUGACAGUCUUCACACAUUCAACUUCCUCUUCUACUGCUGAUCAAAACACAACAUGUACUGUUAUUAUUCCUGUGCAGCACUUCAGAUAAGAGACUCUGUGAAAUGCAAAACACAUAAAAAUGAAAAUGCUAAAGCUUUCCACUCAUUUUAUGUGAUUUUAUAUCUACUUUAAGGCAGGAGUAGAGACAUUAAAAGCUACAAAUGUAUGAAUUUACCAACAGACACAGGAGAGGAAAGAACUGAUGUCACUAUGAGGAAGUGAUCAGGAAGUUGAUGCUGUAUUCAUCUCUGAGACUGUCUCAUUUGUGAACGUGAGAGCAAGAACAGAGACUGAGAGAGACAGAGAAGCACGAUGGCUGCAUUCACAUGGAUUCAAAUGUCUUCUUUACUGAUACUGAUGCUUCAGUUUAAAGGUAAGUGUAGAUAGAAAACAUGUUCAAUUAAUAAACUGCAUUAUCAGUCAUGUUAGUUUGUUUCCUGUAGUUGAGGAACUUGCGCUAUAUGUUUCUUUUUACUUUUUAAUUUUAGUUCUCAUUAUAAACAUCACAGUUAUUAGCACAGCACAGAUAAUGUUUCACAUUUCACUGUUUUUUUUUUUUUCAACAGGAACAGCUGAGCAAUAUUCACCUGUUUACGCUGUCAGAGCUGAACAUGAUGUUACUCUGCCUUGUAAAAAUUUGAUACAUGAUCAGCAUAAAUGUAAAAGUACUACCUGGCUGUUCAGUGAUUCAGGAAGCACAACAAUAAUCUUUGAAAAUGGGCAGAUUCACAAAGAUACCCAGACUAAAUCAGACAGACUGAAUGUUAAAAAGAAAAACUGUUCUCUGGUUAUAAAGAAGGUCUCAGUUGAGGAUGUUGGUCGUUACACCUGCAGACAGUUCAACAAAUCAGGACAACAACAAGGUCCAGACAUUCAGGCUGAUCUGACUGUUAUCAGCAUCACUAAACAUGAGAACCAUGGCGACGUCAUGUUGAACUGCUCUGUAUUUGCCUAUGGACACUGUGGGCACAAAGUGGAGUGGCUGUAUGAGGAUGAAAAGAAAAUAUCAGACAUGAAGAUCUCGGCAGGUCGAUGCACUUCUACUGUGACAUUUACAAGAUCUGACCUGUCCAAGUUUUCUAAGCUGUUAAAGUGUAAUGUAACAGAUACUUCCACCAAAAAUGUGACAAUCUUUCCCUUCAAACCUCAAAAGUCUUCAGAUAAAGAUGCAAAUAAGACAAAAUCCACAAUGGCAUCAACUUCCACCACAACAGCAAAUUUAAUGCCAACACUGAAAACAUCAUUGUCAUCAACAAUAUCAUCAACAUCGUCAACAGCAGCAUCAUCAACAAUAAUAUCAUCAACACUGUCAUCAAUAUUGUCAUCAGUAUUGUCAACAACAGGAUCAUCAACAUCAAUGGAAGUAAAGACAUCAGCAGUGACACCGGUGUAUCAGAAAGCAUCAGGAAAUCAGUUAUGGUUUAUUAUUGUUCCUGUGGGAUUAGCAGGACUCUUAAUAACUGCUGUGGUAGUCACCAGAUGGAAGAAAAAUGCAGAAAACCAGAAACUUCUGUCUGACAGCACUGAUGAAGCUGAGAAUGAUGUUUCAUACGUCACCAUCAGCUUCACCAAGAAGGCCCAAAACAAAGCCCAGGCACGUUGUGGUGAUGAUGAAGGUGACACUGUGACCUACAGCACUGUGAAAGCUUCCUCUUCAUCUGCUGGCGGUUUUACAGAUUCAAGCAACCUUUAUUCCACCAUUAAUAAACUAAAGAAAGAAAAUAAAUAG